Long non-coding RNA from Panicum virgatum (switchgrass), 575 nucleotides. RefSeq lists it as uncharacterized. The record is from RefSeq and is a predicted model, not a curated record. Lineage: Eukaryota; Viridiplantae; Streptophyta; Magnoliopsida; Poales; Poaceae. The transcript has 3 exons.
GAUGUUGGGAUGCUGUUUGCCGGCCCGUAGAAAACGGAGGGGGCGAUUACUCUUCUGUCACGGUGGAAGGAGCUCGGAUACUGCGUGCUGCAAGCAGCUUCUGCAAGUCGUCGGAACAAGAGUCAGCAAUCUGAAUAUACAUAUUCGCUGAAAAAACAGGUCUCUAUUAUUGCAUUUUGCUGUUGGCUAUCCUUUGGGUUUGAGGUCCAAGCUUUACAUCUCUAUCAUCUAGUUUGGUGGCUGAGCCUUAUUAAUGACUAGCAUAUGCAACUUGUGAAGGCUGACAAUGGACGCACAGAUAAGGUGUUGCGGUGUCAGCUCACGUUAGGCACCUGAAAGGCCAGAACAGAAAAUAUCAGCGUGAGGAAGAUAUGCAAAACUGAAUGUCUCACCAUAUCUUUCAUUCGUCGCCUACAUUUGUCAUUUGCUUAGAGCAUGCGGCCUUUUUGUACUGCUGCUGUGAUGAGAACCAUUUGUUAUUUUAAUUCGUCGUUUGUUGUACUCUAGUAAUUUGGCACAGACAAACAUGAAGGUUCAGUUUGGUUGCCUGAAUUUCACACAUCUUUUGACCAUCA